This 844-nucleotide ribosomal RNA is filed under the name uncultured bacterium. RNAcentral describes it as "partial 16S rRNA". It matches the Rfam family "Bacterial small subunit ribosomal RNA", at positions 94 to 944 of the family's 1533-position model. The record is from RNAcentral.
AGUGGCGAACGGGUGAGUAACACGUAGGAACCUGCCCUGAAGUGGGGGACAACCCUGGGAAACUAGGGCUAAUACCGCAUAAUCCCGCAAGGGUAAAGAAUGAUUACAUUCGCUUCAAGAUGGUCCUGCGGUCUAUCAGCUAGUUGGUGGGGUAAUGGCCUACCAAGGCGACAACGGAUAGCCGGCUUGAGAGGGCGAUCGGCCACACUGGCACUGAGACACGGGCCAGACUCCUACGGGAGGCAGCAGUUAAGAAUCUUGCGCAAUGGGGGAAACCCUGACGCAGCCACGCCGCGUGAGCGAUUAAGGCUUUCGGGUUGUAAAGCUCAGUAAGAUGGGAAGAAUAAGCAGGGUCUAAUAGGCCCUGUGAUGACUGUACCAUCCUAAAGCCCCGGCCAAUUACGUGCCAGCAGCCGCGGUAAUACGUAAGGGGCGAGCGUUGUUCGGAUUUAUUGGGCGUAAAGGGCACGCAGGCUGGCUACAAAGUUGGAUGUAUAAUCGUCAGGCUCAACCUGAUACCUGCAUCCAAAACUGGUAGUCUAGAGUUCUGGAGGGGAAAGCGGAAUUCUCGGUGUAGCGGUGGAAUGCGUAGAUAUCGAGAGGAACACCAAUGGCGAAGGCAGCUUUCUGGACAGUAACUGACGCUCAGGUGCGAAAGCGUGGGGAGCAAACAGGAUUAGAUACCCUGGUAGUCCACGCCCUAAACGUUGUGCACUAGGUGUCGGGGGUUUCAACGCCUUCGGUGCCGCAGCUAACGCAUUAAGUGCACCGCCUGGGGAGUAUGCCCGCAAGGGUGAAACUCAAAGGGAUUGACGGGGGCCCGCACAAGCGGUGGAGCAUGUGG